CCUACGGGAGGCAGCAGUGGGGAAUAUUGCACAAUGGGGGAAACCCUGAUGCAGCGACGCCGCGUGAGUGAAGAAGUAUUUCGGUAUGUAAAGCUCUAUCAGCAGGGAAGAAAAUGACGGUACCUGAUUAAGAAGCCCCGGCUAACUACGUGCCAGCAGCCGCGGGAAUACGUAGGGGGCAAGCGUUAUCCGGAUUUACUGGGUGUAAAGGGAGCGUAGACGGCAGCGCAAGUCUGAAGUGAAAUGCCGGGGCUUAACCCCGGAACGGCUUUGGAAACUGUGCAGCUAGAGUGCAGGAGAGGUAAGUGGAAUUCCUGGUGUAGCGGUGAAAUGCGUAGAUAUUAGGAGGAACACCAGUGGCGAAGGCGGCUUACUGGACUGUAACUGACGUUGAGGCUCGAAAGCGUGGGGAGCAAACAGGAUUAGAUACCCGGGUAGUC
RNAcentral lists this ribosomal RNA (440 nucleotides) under uncultured bacterium. Its description in RNAcentral is "partial 16S ribosomal RNA". It matches the Rfam family "Bacterial small subunit ribosomal RNA", at positions 338 to 795 of the family's 1533-position model. The record is from RNAcentral.